This 73-nucleotide transfer RNA is filed under the name Marmota monax (woodchuck). Its description in RNAcentral is "tRNA.Thr". Lineage: Eukaryota; Metazoa; Chordata; Mammalia; Rodentia; Sciuridae. The record is from RNAcentral.
AGGGUUGUGACUCAGUGGUAGAAUGCUCAUCUAGUGGCAGGUGAGGCCCUGGGUUCAAUCCUCAGCAAUAUAU